Molecule: transfer RNA, 83 nt
Filed under: Deltaproteobacteria bacterium
Lineage: Bacteria; Pseudomonadati; Myxococcota; Myxococcia
Description: tRNA-Ser
Rfam family: tRNA
About the family: Transfer RNA (tRNA) molecules are approximately 80 nucleotides in length. Their secondary structure includes four short double-helical elements and three loops (D, anti-codon, and T loops). Further hydrogen bonds mediate the characteristic L-shaped molecular structure. tRNAs have two regions of fundamental functional importance: the anti-codon, which is responsible for specific mRNA codon recognition, and the 3' end, to which the tRNAs corresponding amino acid is attached (by aminoacyl-tRNA synthetases). tRNAs cope with the degeneracy of the genetic code in two manners: having more than one tRNA (with a specific anti-codon) for a particular amino acid; and 'wobble' base-pairing, i.e. permitting non-standard base-pairing at the 3rd anti-codon position.
Source: RNAcentral
GGAGGAGUGGCCGAGUGGUUUAAGGCAGCGGUCUUGAAAACCGCCAGGUGCAAGCCUCGGGGGUUCGAAUCCCUCCUCCUCCG